RNAcentral lists this transfer RNA (77 nucleotides) under Alphaproteobacteria bacterium. RNAcentral describes it as "tRNA-Pro". It matches the Rfam family "tRNA". From Rfam's summary of the family: Transfer RNA (tRNA) molecules are approximately 80 nucleotides in length. Their secondary structure includes four short double-helical elements and three loops (D, anti-codon, and T loops). The record is from RNAcentral. Lineage: Bacteria; Pseudomonadati; Pseudomonadota; Alphaproteobacteria. RNAcentral also lists the same sequence under 2 other names.
CGGAGCGUAGCUCAGCCUGGUAGAGCACUGUCUUCGGGAGGCAGGGGUCGUUGGUUCAAAUCCAGCCGCUCCGACCA